This 513-nucleotide ribosomal RNA is filed under the name uncultured bacterium. Its description in RNAcentral is "partial 16S ribosomal RNA". It matches the Rfam family "Bacterial small subunit ribosomal RNA", at positions 28 to 523 of the family's 1533-position model. The record is from RNAcentral.
GAUGAACGCUGGCGGCGUGCCUAAUACAUGCAAGUCGAACGCGCAGCGAGAGGUGCUUGCACCUUUCAAGCGAGUGGCGAACGGGUGAGUAACACGUGGAUAACCUGCCUCAAGGCUGGGGAUAACAUUUGGAAACAGAUGCUAAUACCGAAUAAAACUUAGUAUCGCAUGAUAUCAAGUUAAAAGGCGCUACGGCGUCACCUAGAGAUGGAUCCGCGGUGCAUUAGUUAGUUGGUGGGGUAAAGGCUUACCAAGACGAUGAUGCAUAGCCGGGUUGAGAGACUGAUCGGCCACAUUGGGACUGGGAAACGGCCCAAACUCCUACGGGAGGCUGCAGUAGGGAAUCUUCCACAAUGGGCGCAAGCCUGAUGGAGCAACGCCGCGUGUGUGAUGAAGGCUUUCGGGUCGUAAAGCACUGUUGUAUGGGAAGAAAUGCUAAAAUAGGGAAUGAUUUUAGUUUGACGGUACCAUACCAGAAAGGGACGGCUAAAUACGUGCCAGCCGCCGCAGUAA